AGAGCGAGGAGAAUGUGUCACCGCGCUGGGAAAGUUCAAGGUUACAGCCCCAAGCACUGCGGCAGGAUCCCGGAGUGGCGAUCGCAGGCGAAACUUUGCCGCGAGCCGACCAUGUCGCCUCCAAAAGUUUCUCAGGAGCUUAGAAAAGAAGAAUGAAAGACAACUCUUAACACAAAAGAGCCCACAAAAGCUACAGCAGCGCCAGGGGUGAUGAAGCAGCAACAGACCCAGCUCUUGCAUGUGACUAGAGGGGUGGCUCAACAAUUCCACACACCCUGGCUGCAUGGCCAAUAUCAAUAUUUUAAAACUAAAUACAAAAGAGACAGAUGACCUCCUGACCCCAGGAAACAGGCCUGCAAGACUGCAAGUAUCCACUACACCAUGCCCAGGGACCUUUUCUUCUUCCAAAUGAACCACAAAAAUCAUACAUGUGUAGCCUGGAAAACACGAUUUUAUAUCCACAAGCAAGAACAUCAAAAACCCACUCAACAACACAUGUAUAAACAACCAACAAGUACUGAAAUUGCCUGUACUUGAUGGGAAUUGCAAAAUCAUGCCCAGCUCUAUCAGCCCUUAAAGUACCACUGUCAAAUUAGGGUAGCAAUUUUUCCCUACUACAAAAUCCACAACCGGUUAGCUUCCCCACCCCCUAUUGCCAGCGCUUUGCCUUUCACUGAAAUGAAUAAAUAACUGUGGACUUUUUUCCCAUCCUCGGGGAGCUGUUCGGUGUCCCCUGAGGACAAAACUAAAUGAGAAAAAUGACGCUGUUAAUAAUGUCACUGCUGAAAUGCCUGUACUCGACUGUUUUAAAAAAAAUACUGUCCCGCCAAGUGUGCCUACGUUUCAGCACAUUUUCAAACCACCACUGAAUCUGUAUGUAGACUGGCCAGCAUUAAGUUUAGCUGGUUUUCACUUCUGUACAGAAAUGAGGCUAGUUCAUCAAUGGAGAUUCCGAACUUCUGAAGACAUUGCUUUCUGGGAUUACAAAGUCAGCAGUUGCCCUGUAAUUUUUGUAUGAUUUAUUUUAAACUUUGAAAAUCACAGUAAUAAUUGUCUUGGUUCACUCAAAAUACUUCAAAACUUACAGGCACCUUCACACACAGACUUCUUUGCUGAGCCUGUGAGAGUUGUAGCUAUUGUCCUUUUUCAAAAUAGCUGACACUUACAGUAAAACUAUACCAUCAUUUUAUUUCUACAUUAAGUUGGUUUUUGUUUCCUAUCUACAUGCGCCUUUGUGACAUGAAAAAAAAUUGACUUUAAUGAGCUGUUUAGAAAGCUUUUAUGCAAAAUGGCUAAGUUGUCUUUAUAUUGUUCAUUAAGAAAUGUAGAAAGUGCACUGCAAACUAACGUAAACUUUCUGCAUCCCUUUCUGUAAUUCUUUUCUUGAAAACUGCCUUUCUGUUUCAAAACCAAAACAAUCAUAAUAACAAGACUGUUCAUUUUAACUUUCAAAAUAAAAUUUAGCCAACAAUUGCAUAAUUACAAUGAUAGAAAACAAACCGCUGGGCCUAUACAAAAUACAUAUUAAUAUUUUAAGUAAACUUUGUCUCGGAAAUACAUCUGAAAAAAUUUUACAACACACAGUAAGUUAAUAACUUCCAAAGCAAUAAUAUUGUCAAAUUGUGUGAUGUCACAAGCUCCAAAAGCAAAGUUACAGAUGUUCAUGACAUCACAUUCACUCAUAAUUAUGUUGCUGCUGUCUGACCAUCUUAAACGGAUGACUCUGUCUACUAAAGAAUAAAAAGAAUUUAUUUUGGACAUCAAACAAUGAAACUGUCACCAUUUAUUGUAUGAAACACUCAGCUAAUCAAUUUCCUAUUAAAACAGCUUUCAACAAUACUCAGCUUUAAAAUUCAUCAGGGCCAGUAAAAACCUUUUCCCAGUGCACAAGAAUGCAGUCCCAACCACGUACAAUAAUUGCCCUUCUAAUACUUUUAUUGCCCAAGCGCUUUUUCUUGUGCUCCCCAUCAGUGAGGCAGGAAUCUGCAGUAUAUUGUAUCAGUGAAUUGGAGUGCUUGACCUUUGCCCACAUAUGAUUUAAUAGGGACUUUUCAGCACUGGCGCUUUCUCCAUCUCUCAUACCAUUAAAUGAAAACAUCAAACCUCAAAUGUAAAACUGGAAACCACAACGUUUUGUGUUUCACAACUCUUUGCAGUUUUUACUUAGAUUGCUUAAAGGUCAGCUUCUUCGCCUCACCGUGCUCUGCCCCAUAGAGUAAAUGUACUCAAAAGUCACACUCAUUCUGAUUUUGAUUAAAUCUUGAACUCCCCAGAUACACACAUGCACCCUGCUUAUUUACAUGUGCAUUCUUUCCUAACCACAUAAGCAUGCGUGUAUGACUUUCUGGAUUUAUUCCAUUUUAGGGCUGAUUUAAAUGUCUGUUCAAGUAUGGGUUCACAAGUUAACUUUUUCCCACCCGAUGGAAAGUUAAAAUUACAAAGGAUGGUGUUAUAGGAUCCUGUCAAAGAAAGUUAGAGUUAAUCUUGUGUAUUUUGGCGCCUUUUCCCUGCCAGCUACUGUACUGGGGGUGGGGGGGAAGGUGGGGGUUGGAGAUCUUGUCUGUCCUGUCUCAAGUUCAAUGGCAGUUCUUCUAACCAGAGGAGAAGAUGGCCAUGUUCACAGCACUAAUAAUAAUUCCAAUCACGCCACUUCGGCAUCUUGUGUCAAAGUCGAAACGGGCUUCCCCGCCCCCUCUUCAACCUGAAAGCUGCCAAGUCCUCACACACUCCGCAUUCAACCACAACUUAAUGGAUGGGAUAUCGUGCAUUAAAAUAUGUCCCAGACAUACUGGCAAAGAGAAGACAAGGGAAGAGGGAGACAGACACAUACAUGCACACGCACACACACUUUGUUAGGCAGAGGGGAAAAAAAUACUAGAGUAAAAACAGCAGGGCAGAAAAAAAAAAUAACAGGAGCGGGAAGAAAUACAUCAUAAUCUUUUUCUUUUUUUUAAAGUAGAGGGAAGAGUGGGAGAGGGCUAACAAUUCUAUCCUGCCACUUUAGGAACAAGCGGGUGGGGGUAACUACACUUUGGAAUGAAGAAUGAUUUUAAAAACGCCAAUACACCAAUCAGAGCUAAAUAAAUACACUUUUAAGUGAAAAUAUGUAACAAAUCUGUGCAGGGAAGGAAAAAAAUGCUCCGAAAAGAAUGGACUACAAGAUACAACUAAAGUAUCAUUUGUACAGUAAUUUUUUCCAUCAUGGGGAAGGGGUUAAGGGAGAUGAAGCAGUAAAAAUGCUACAUUUCACACUGUUUUGGACUUACAAUGUUAUCCACGGAUCCCCAUCAUAGAAGUGUGGCAUGCACACUAAAGUUGACAAAGAUUUUUUAUUUUUUUUAAAGCAUCAGGGCUGAAAAUCCAACAUAUGGCUCAACCUGUAAAGCAGAAAUGACAUUUAGGUUCUCUUUACAAUGUACAAAGAGGAAAAAAAUCUGUGUAUGGCAAUAGAAGGGGAUGCAAGAGACAAGCAAAUAAAAUCCUUCAUUUCAAAGCUAUAUACCACUGCUUAUUGCAAUAAAGAGAUGUUGAGUUUAUAACAGAACCCUGGCCCGCUGACUUCACGUAUCUCAGGUACAGAUUUGUGGAUUUUUGAGUUGUUUUAGUGUCGCUUUUGUAUUUUUUUUAAGAGCGCAAUCCAGGAGUAGGCUCUUACUUUUGUUUUUAAUGAUAAUUUCUGCAAUGCCACAAUUCCUGGCCCGAAGAAGAAAAGGCGGUAAAUGUCAAGUCUAAAAACAUGCAACCCCUCAGCCUGUCUGGAUUUCCAGUUUGCUUCCUCUCACUUGGAGAAGACGUGAGCUUGACUUGAAAGCCGUCCAGAGUGCCGGGUGUGUGUUUGUGUGUGUGUACGUGCGUGCGCGAGUGUGCUUGGUGGGUUUUAUUGUUGUUUUAGCAGGGCUGCCCCGGGGGUAAGAGCUGCCUCCCCGCCCGGGCUCGGAGCGCGCUAAGGCUGAGACACCCGGCGCGGCCGGGAGGUCGCGCGCUGUCCUCUUCCUCGCCCUGGAAUCCUCAGGGCCGGCGGAGGCGCUACCCCGGAACCGCCGGCCAUCCGCGCAACCUUUCCGCGCCCGGCCCGGCCCGCGCUCUGCGGCCGCCGCCUCCCCGGCUUUCUCUUUCUCCGAACCAGCCGCCCGGCCCCGCCCCACCCAGGCCGGCUCGGCGCGCGGGAAGCGUGGCUCUUCGCUUCCGCCUGGCGGCGGGAAGGAAACCGAAAGGAGGAGCCGGGGGCGGGCGCGCGGUGAUGCAUAUUCAUUAGGGCGCCCGCGGCAGCGGAGGCGGGAGCGGGCCCGAGUGGGUGUGGCGGGCUGCGCUGCGCGGGGCCCCUCACGAGUGGCGGCUCGGCUCUUUGUGCCGCCGGGCGGGGCCGGAGCGCAGCGAGGGCGGGCGAGGAGGGCGGUGCCGCUAGUCUGCGGGGCUGCCAGGCUCCGCGCGCCUUUGUGCUCCCGCGCUCUGGGGCCUCCCCGCUGGCGUGCGCGAGAGCCGAGCGCGGCCGAGCCGCCGCGGGAGACGCGUCACCAAAUAAUAAUGAGACGGGAUUGGUGCUCUUCCCUACUUGACGCCGGGUUGCUGGGUCCCGUUUGCCAGGCCACAUUUGUUUCGUUGUAAAAGGAAUUCUGAAAUGUUCCUCGCUGCGUAGCCUUAUCAUUAAAGCAAAACAACCAGAACACUACUUUUUAUAGGCAUGCAGGUAAAUAUCAAUAAUUCAGGGGUAGGUUGAAGAAAUAAUUUGGAGAAGGGAAGGGCUGCCCACUCCAGUAUUCUGGCCUAGGGAAUUCCAUGGACUGUGUAGUUCAUGGGGUCGCAGAGUCGGACACGACUGAGCGACUUUCACACUGUUCAUUGAAGAAAGAAAUCAACCCCAAAGAAAUAUGCAACCCAAAAGUAAACACUCUAGGUGAGAUGUGCUGGCGUGUUCAUGUUCAUAAAGCUGUUUUGAUGAGUGUUUUUCAAACUUUAUGUAAUUGUUGCUUAAUUUUCAAGUAAUCCAGUUAUUUUGCAUUUUAAGCAUCUGUAGUGUGGUAUAACAAUGUUUAACUGUUAAAUCAAGUUGUUCUAUAAUUCUGAUCUAAAACUGAAGUAUUGAAAGUAAAAACAUAACACCCGCCCUAAAUUUACUUAAUACUAACCCACCUGUGUUGAGAAGGAUUUUAUUACAGAGAUCCUGACUAAUUAUGUAAACACAACAGACA
Long non-coding RNA from Bubalus bubalis (water buffalo), 5189 nucleotides. RefSeq lists it as uncharacterized. The transcript has 3 exons. The record is from RefSeq and is a predicted model, not a curated record. Lineage: Eukaryota; Metazoa; Chordata; Mammalia; Artiodactyla; Bovidae.